This 406-nucleotide ribosomal RNA is filed under the name uncultured bacterium. RNAcentral describes it as "partial 16S ribosomal RNA". It matches the Rfam family "Bacterial small subunit ribosomal RNA", at positions 30 to 526 of the family's 1533-position model. The record is from RNAcentral.
AUUGAACGCUGGCGGCAGGCCUAACACAUGCAAGUCGAACGAGUGGCGGACGGGUGAGUAAUGUCUGGGAAACUGCCCGAUGGAGGGGGAUAACUACUGGAAACGGUAGCAAAUACCGCAUACCAUCGGAUGUGCACAGAUGGGAUUAGCUAGUGGGUGGGGUAACGGCACACCAAGCCGACGAUCUCUAGCUGGUCUGAGAGGAUGACCAGCCACACUGGGACUGAGACACGGCCCAGACUCCUACGGGAGGCAGCAGUGGGGAAUAUUGCACAAUGGGGGCAACCCUGAGGCAGCCAUGCCGCGUGUAUGAAGAAGGCCUUCGGGUUGUAAAGUUCUUUCAGUAGCGAGGCGUUAACUACAGAAGAAGCACCGGCUAACUCCGUGUCAGCAGCCGCGGUAAUUC